UAAAGGUUAAACUGCAAGCAUUGCUGGACAGGCCAGUAGAACUAGCUUUAGUGAGAUCCCAAAGUUUUAAGGAGUUGUCAGUGGAUGCAGUAACCAGAGUUUCAGGGUCCAAGAAUUUCACGAAGCUUACUGCUUUGUCAUGGCCAGCCAAUACACACCAGGGUGUUCUUAAAUUCCGAAGAUCAUAGCAAUAGGUUCUGUAAUCCGCUGACCCAAAUGCCAACAAAUGAGUAGAAUGAGAAGAGAACUGAACACAGCAGACAUUUGCAAUGUUCCUGAUUGUGCCUAAACUAUUUUUCU
Molecule: unclassified non-coding RNA, 300 nt
Filed under: Hevea brasiliensis (rubber tree)
Lineage: Eukaryota; Viridiplantae; Streptophyta; Magnoliopsida; Malpighiales; Euphorbiaceae
Source: RNAcentral